UUGCUUUGGCAGCAGAUGUAUUAAAAUUGGAAAAACAAAAAAGAAGAGUAGCAUAGAUGAUGUGUGAGAAUGACAUGAACAUUCAUGAAGUAGUCCAUAUUUUU
Molecule: small nuclear RNA, 104 nt
Filed under: Tursiops truncatus (common bottlenose dolphin)
Lineage: Eukaryota; Metazoa; Chordata; Mammalia; Artiodactyla; Delphinidae
Source: RNAcentral